Molecule: long non-coding RNA, 1754 nt
Filed under: Amborella trichopoda
Lineage: Eukaryota; Viridiplantae; Streptophyta; Magnoliopsida; Amborellales; Amborellaceae
Description: long non-coding RNA (ATRI_LNC001881)
Source: RNAcentral
ACCCUAUAGAUUCUACUUUUCAAUAUGGAUUGAACCAAUGCUACUUGGAAGUGUUGGGGGUUUGGGAGACGUCUGAUGGAAGAUUUUGAUAAUUUUUUGUUGGUCGCUUCUUGUUCUAUCAAAAUCCUAAGCUUCCGAAGGUGCAAAUCUGGCCUGUUCAUCUCUUUCUCCUUCAAUCUUGUUUGUCCGGAUGUCUUUCGGCUCAUAUAACCAUUUUCACAUGCACACACGCAUAUAGAUCGGUUUCUAGGGUUCAAGACAGUCAACCAUUUUUUUUAUUUUGGUGAUAGCGUGUGUUUUACCAUCGAGAGAUCACUUUGUUUUGCAUGAUAGAUUUAAGUUCAAUUUCUUUCAAAUUAUCUACAUAUUAGGGUUUGUUAACAUAGUCAUGUGUGAGUCACUGAAUACAAAGUGACAUGAAUGGAAUGUAUGAAUUUAUUGGGAAUAUCUAAUAUUCAUUGUGAGUAUGUUCGAUUUACUGCUUUGGCUUUGCUUUCCAUGGAUUUAGUAUUUGAAGUUUGUGUCCAUAAGUUACUUGUGGCUUUUAUGCUUUUGUGUUUUUGUUUUCUUGGAUCUCGAGGAAGAUAUGUUAUGCCGUCGAAAGCAUCAGGCAUUAAGCUUCGUCAAUGAUUAAAUGUCGGCUGAUUAAUAUAGCCUUUUUCUUAAGAUUAUAUUUAUUUAUGAGCAAUCUCAAGUCUUUGUUUUUUAUUUUUAUAUACAGUUUUUUUAUAAGAUUUACGUUAUCCUUUUGUUAUUAUUGGCCUGAUGACUCAUAUUAUUCUAUUAUCAAAUGGUUCUGGAGCCAUCCAUAUGUUCAUAUUCAUUUGAUGUUUCUACAUGGUAAUAGAAAGAGAUAGAGUUCAGGGGUGUGUAAAGAGUUUAUGUUGGGUCUACUACUACCACAUGUUUAAAAUUUUGUUGGGAUUUAUUUGCAUUUCCUCUUCAUCACCCUUUGUCGUUUCAUUCUUAGUUUUAGAAAUAUGCUUAUUUUUUAUUCCUUGUAGAGUUCUUAUCAAGAUCGCAAAAGGAGGCCCACUUAACUUCUGAUGUCUGUGAAGGGCUCAAAAUUGAUCAAGGAAAUGCUGGUAAAAGCAUUGGAUAAGUUUCCAGAGAUAGGAAAGGCAUUCCUCCUUGCUUUGGACUGUCCAAUUUAUUUGUUUCAUAUUUUGAGAAGUUAUUUUCAUUGUUGAUUAUGCACAUGGGUGGUGUUGAUUGCUUAUAGUGGUGGGGUUUGUUGACUAAUGUUUAGUGAACUUGCAAAAAACAACUUUUAAUGUGGCCUUGUUAGUGUUUUAUGGUAGGAUUGAAUAGUGGUUUAAAACAAGGACUUGGGUUGGGACUCACCAGGGAGUUGAGCCCGAUUCAGGAAACUUGGGCUUGGCUGAGCUGAUUUUAUUACUUGAUGCCAGACAGACAAUGCCAAAUUGUUUGUGCAAUGCUUGAUUGUUUCUAGUGUUACUUGGACUCUUAUUGUUCUUUUUCCUUUUUUCCUUGUUUUCUUUAUUGUUUGUUAUUUUUAAUACCUUAGACUAUCAAAUUUAGAUUAGACUUGGGAAUUGGAUUAUGCUAGCUGCAAACAUACGGUGAAUUGCAUUUGUUUUAUACAAGGUUUAAAAAAAUGGAUCAGCAACCCGAAUCGUCCACUCCAAAAAUCGUGUCGAAUUGGUGUGUCGGAUCGGAGAAUUGGCCAAAUCGGCGAGUUUCAUCCCAAUUUAUUUUCAAAUAAUGCUAUAAAUCUCUAAAAAUAGUGUUCU